This 8295-nucleotide ribosomal RNA is filed under the name Triticum aestivum (bread wheat). RNAcentral's name for it is "partial small subunit ribosomal RNA". Lineage: Eukaryota; Viridiplantae; Streptophyta; Magnoliopsida; Poales; Poaceae. The record is from RNAcentral.
AUGGGGAACAGCCGCCCGGGAGGGGCGCCGCCGACAAGCAGCGGGAGCGUGGCGGGGAGCAACCCGGAGGCUGUACCGGAAGCUCCCCGGUUGCGGCCGCACGGAGGGCCAGGCGCGUCGGGUCCGGGGAGCCCAGGUCGGAGCACACCCCUUCCUGGUGGUCGGGAGAGGGGUUCCGCGGGGGCAAAUGUGAUGACACCGUCUUGUGACAGGCAGCAGAACAGAGCGGUGGAGGAAGCGCCGCUCGGAGGGUCGAGGGCGGUUAAGAAGAGCAGUGUGCCCAAUUCUCUGUCAAGAGGUUCAGACGGAAGCUCUGGCUCUAGGAUGGGUGCAGAGGAGCAAGUGAUGAGUGAGCAUGCGAGCAACGGGGAUGCUGGCUCUUCGUCGAAGAAGCGGCGAAAAAGAAUGGAUGCAAGAAGCUACAUCAAGAAAUUCAAGACGGGCGUAAGACCGGGUGCCUCAGUUGUAGUUGCUUCCCCUGACAGGAUGGGCAAGGAGAACACUUCAAGCGGGCAUGUGGCAGACAGCAACACUGCUAUUCUGUGUGAAGGUAGGAGGUUGAUUGAAAAAAGCAAGGGACAUUCAAGCCAUGCUGCCUGUAAAGUUCCCAAAAGUCCUAUUUCUGGUUUACAUGAAACUUCAGACACAAGAGUUGACCAAUGUUCUACACCGCUUUCAGAGGUACAGCCACAUAAACCUACCGACGUGCAAAAUAUAGCGGCUGAAAGCAGUCUUCCAGCAAACGCUAGAGAUCCACACACUGGCCCUGCAAGGCAAAACAUUCUAUCAUCAUUGCAAACUGUGCCAAUAUCUACUAUUCAUCAAGAAGAGGUACUGCCACAUAAACGUACCGAUGUGCAAGAUAUAGCGGCUGAAAGCAGUCUUCCAGCAAAGGAUAGAGAUCGACACACUGGCCCUGCAAGGCAAAACAUUGUACCAUCAUUGCAAAGUGGGCCAAUAUCUACUAUUCAUCACAAAGAGGUUAAGAGCACACUUGGAGAUGCUGAACCUAUUAGCGUUCAGAAAGAAAAUUCAGCUCCAGGACAUCUCCAGGUGGCCCGAUCUGAUGGAACAGAUGGUAACCCCAACAUAUGUGUUGCCUGUGGUCUUGGAUCCCCAGGAACUUUUAGGUCCUGUGAUGGAAAAGGUUGCAAAAGUAGGUACCAUAUGUCUUGUCUGGAUCAAUAUUUGUCUCUUGGAAAUUGGUUCUGUACCAGCUGUACGAAAAAGAGGUUGCAGUUUGGCUUACAUCAUAUUGUUGAUGGGAUAGAGUCUGUGUGGGAUGUCAAGGCUGAGGGGAUGCAAACUAGCAAGCAGUAUUUUGUCAAGUAUAAGAAUCUGGCGCAUGUCCAUAACCGUUGGGUUCCAGAAGGUGAUAUUAGUGUCAUGCCUGGAGGUCCUGAUCUUCUUUCCUUGUUUAACAAGAGGACUCAUACUGAAAAGACAAUUUGGAAGGAGUGGACUAAACCACAUCGCCUGUUGAGGAAGAGGCUACUUGUGCCCCCAAGAUUGGCUGAGGAUUUCUUCUGUUCGGAUGAUUUCUUUUGCUCAUCUGGUGUCUCAUAUUGUACUCUUGAAUGGUUAGUGAAAUGGAGGGGUCUUGGCUAUGAUCAUGCAACAUGGGAACUAGAGACUUUAUCCUGUUUACGUACGCCGGAAGCUGACGAACUUAAAGAGAAUUACGAGAACCGCCGUGAAGCUGCAAAACAAUCAUCUAUUCCCCAAAAAACAAAGGUUAAGCAAAGCUCAUUCCAGAAACUUGAGAGAUUGCCAGAUGGGUGCCAUCCUGAUUUUGACAAUGAUCACUUGUAUUCAGUCAAUCACCUUCGAGAGUACUGGCACAAAUCCUGUGGUGCUGUUCUUGUUGAUGAUAAGGAGUAUGUAAUAAAGACCGUGCUAUUCACAAUGUCUGUAUUACCUGACGUCAGCCAACCUUUUCUGAUUCUCACAACUCCUGGUUCUCUGUCUUUAUGGGAGGUUCAGUUCAAUAAGUUGGCACCGUUUAUCAAUGUCGUUGUGUAUGACGGGGGGAAAGAUGAGCUCAAAUUAAUUCGAGAUUUGGAAUUCUAUGAGAGUGGAAGCCACUGUAUGUUACAGGUUCUCUUAUCCCAUCCUGAUGCUAUCCUAGAGGAUAUUGAACCUAUAGCACACAUUGGUUGGGAAGCAGUCAUAGUUGAUUAUUAUCAAAAGUCAGCUUUACAAUACCUCGAACAACUGAAGCAAUUUCCCACUGAUUUCAGAAUGUUGCUUGUGAGCUCCCCAAUUAAGGAUAAUCUUCCCGAAUACGUGAAACUUCAAGCAUUCCUUAAUUCUGGAGAGCAAGAAAGUUACGUUGAUACUGCUGAGACUCUUAUGAUGCUGAAAGGAAACUUCAAAAGCCAUAUUGCAUAUGAGCGUCAAGCAGGUUCUUCAAAAAUAUUGGAGCACUGGGUUCCUGCUUAUGUUUCACAACUGCAGCUACAGACAUAUUGUUCCAUACUGCUUUCAAAUUCAUCUGUCCUCCAGUCGCAGAUGAAAAGUGAUAAAGCUCUUUAUGACAUUAUUAUGUCUCUCUCAAAGUGCUGUGAUGACCCUUACCUUGUUGAUGAAUCCCUGCGACCUCCUGUCAACAAUCAUGAUCAGACUGAUCCUAUAGUUACGAGAGUGCAAGCAUGUGGCAAGCUACUGCUUCUUCAAAAAAUGCUUGAAGCAAUAAGGAACAAGAGGCUAAGAGUCAUUAUUCUUUUUCAAUCUGGUGUACCAGGUGGAAGCUCAAUGGGUGAUACUUUGGAAACUGUUGUGCGUCACAAAUUUGGCCCAGAGUCAUAUGAACGUGUUGGAUUUUGUGGAUCAUUCUCGAAGAAAGCGAUGGCACUUAAUAAGUUCAAUGACAAGACCAAGGGGAGAUUUGUUUUUCUGAUUGAAACAAAUGCAUGCCUCCCAAGUAUUGAGCUGUCAUCUGUUGAUGCCAUUAUCAUAUAUAAUAGUGACUGGAACCCACUUACUGAUCAAAAGGCUCUUCAAAGAAUCAAAAUAGAGUCACAUCUUAGCUAUCCAAGCAUUUUUCGCUUAUACACUCCUUUGACAAUGGAGGAGAAGUGGCUUGUGCUUGCAAAACAGGGCAUGCUUAUUGAUAAGAAGGAUAUAACACACAGCGCAAGCCAUUCCUUUAUCAGUUGGGGUGCAUCAUGUCUCUUCACUAGACUUGAUGAGCUUAAGCAUGACAACUGUGCAAGUAAAAACUCUGAAAGGGACAACUUUAUGGAUAAAGUAGUUUCAGAGUUCUUGAAAAAAUUAGCCACAAAUGUUGUAGGCAGCACCAAACUUAACUGCACAUGCAUAUCGGAAGCUAACAUGAGUGGUAAAUUUUACUCAAGAAACAUCACACUAGUAGGUGAAAAAGAGGAAAUGUGUGCAUUGGAUGGAGACCCAUCUAAGUUCUGGUUAGAUUUACUGGAUGGAAAAUCUCCCUCUUGGAGCUAUAUAUCUGAGCCACCACAAUCAAGCCAUAACAUCUUACAAAACAUGGAAGAACCAGCCAAAGUUCCUGCUGAAGAAGAAGCCAAUGAAACCAGAAGGAAGCGUAGAAAGGUUGGCGAAAUCACAGGUCCAUCUUCAAAAAGUUCACAUGACAACAAUCACCAUGAUGUGUUGCCUGAAAAUUCUACAUCGAGUCCUGCUCUUCAACCACUAGAUGACACACAACAAACAUUAGGGGUGGAAAAACGGAUGAGCACACCCAAGAAUCUUCACGUCCAACUUAAGAAAGAGCUGUCAAAACUAAUUACGGCCCUACAAUUGCCGGAUGAUGUAAGAGCUAUGGCUGAACAGUUGUUUGAGUAUUUUUUGAAGAAUCAUCUAGUUGUUACAGAGCCAGUGAGCAUACUGCACGCAAUCAUCAUAUCCUUGUGUUGGCAUGCUGCUUCUGUUCUUAAGUAUAAGAUAAAUUCUGGAGAGUCGAUUGCCCUUGCUGGAAAAAGCUUGAACUGUGAGUGCAAUGAAGAGCUUGCAUCAUUCAUCUAUGGAAGAUUAAGGUUCCCAGAGGGAAAAAAUCCAGAUAGAGCAAUUGAAACUAGCGUCAAUGGUCAACCAGUGUCAGUAGAGGAUACCCAAAUCUUAAUUGAAACUAGCAUCAAUGGUCAACCAGUGUCAGUAGAGGACACCCAAAUCUCAAUUGAAACUAGCAUCAAUGGUCAACCAGUGUCAGUAGAGGACACCCAAAUCUCAUGGGAGGACACCCAAGUGGUCUCAUCUGGUGCUGAUCACAUGAUCUCAGAGGAGCAGGAGCCUGUUCAAGAAACUCACAGAGAAUGUCAUUUGUCAAAGGAUGACCUUCCUAACAUGAUCGUGGAGAAAAGAAUGGAGUUAAUUGACAAUGUUUUCUCCUUGAGAGAAAAGAAUAUCCUUUGUAAACAACAGCUUGAGAUCUCAGGUUUAGACACGUACACACAGAACAACGUUCUCAGACUGAAGGCAGUGUGCACUUUAGUUCUGGAGCAUAUUCGUAAAAGUCACAUUGAUGAAGUGACCAGGAGUGACAAAAUAAAGCUAACUGUUCAGUGGUUCACUAUGCUUAUGUAUGCAUUUUUGGACCACAUGAGCCUCCAACAUAACAAACUCGAGGCACUGCAAUCUGAUAGGUGGCUUGUAGAGCGACAUCUGAAGGAGAAUCUCCACCAGGUAGCAAAAUCAGGCCAAUUAGAUCAAGACUUUGAUCAGCAUAUUGCUCUACCAGAUUCGAACUUUGUUAUGGAAGAAUUUAUCCAUUUUAAGGAGCAGAGUGGCGAGUAUCAUAUUGUUGAAAGUUCUGUGUCAGAUAACCAGCAGUCAUUAGAUGAUGGAUUGUUAAUGGAAAUUGCAUUAGUACGAAAUGAAGUUCUGUCAGGGGGCAUAUCUACACAGGCAAUGGAAAAUGAGCCAGCUGCAACUUCUGUGGACUCAGGUGAAGGACCAGCAUCAGAAGCUGUUGAUUUUCCAGGAAACUCCAUCCUUAGUUCUGAUGGCAUGGGUGCACAAAGAGCUGGUUGUUCAUCAAGUACUAUUCCUGCAAAUGAUGAUUCAGUUGGUCAGGAAUCUUCAAUUGGUGACUGUAGAAAUACUGGACAUGUUGAGGCAGAAAAUAUUGCUAAUCCAAGUAUGUUGCUGGAAGGAGCAGAUUCUUUUGUUAGGGGACUUAAUGCAAACAACGACACUGUUGAUACAGAUCAAGUCCACUUGGAGUCACCAGUUAGCCCAGCUACCUUACCAAUGUCUACUGAAUUUGAAACUCAGACUUGCCAAUCAAGUAUGCAUGUGGAACAAAGUCCUGAAGUGCAAAAGUCAACCUCAAUGCAAGAUCAACCUGCAGAAAAACGAGCAUGUAUUGUGGGUCCCGAGGCAGCAAUGCAGGAUCAGCCAGCAGAGGCAGAGCGAGCAGGUACCUUGGGUGCGAUAUCAGCUCAGGUUUUGCCGCUUGAAAUGCAACCAUCAUCAACCUCAACGAGGGGCGUUCCUUUUGUGUCUGGUCUGCAGAGUUCGUCUGUCCAUCAAAGUGUAGUACCUUCAUUGGAUCCACAUGCAGGUGUAGAGUUAUCGGGCAUGAUGACACCUCAUGCUAUUCAACCACCAGCCUCAGUGCCUGCGGAACAGAGUACGAGUCUGCCUGCCCAACAAAGCUUAGCAACUUUGCGUCAUCCGCCAGCAGAAACAGAACCAGCAGGUAUUCUGGCCACAGAGGCAGCUUGUGAUUUGCAGCCUGAAGUCCAACUGUCAACCUCAAUGCAGAAUCAACCUGCAGAUUCUCUUGUUAGGGGACUUAUUGCAAACAAUGAUGACACUGUUGAUACAGAUCAAGUCCACUUGGAGUCACCAGUUAGCCCAGCUACCUUACCAGUGUCUACUGAAUUUGAAACUCAGACUUGCCAAUCAAGUAUGCAUGUGGAACAAAGUGUAAGUGUACCUGCCCAACAAAGUUUAGCAACUUGCCAAUCAAGUAUCUAUCAAGUAUGUCUCCUGAACCAAUCUUGCGAUUUGCAGCCUGAAGUGCAACAGUCAACCUCAAUGCAAGAUCAACCUGCAGAAAAACAAGCAUGUAUCGUGGGUCCCGAGGCAGCAAUGCAGGAUCAGCCAGCAGAGGCAGAGCAAGCAGGUACCUUGGGUGCCAUAUCAGCUGAGGUUUUGCCACCUGAAAUGCAAUCAUCAUCAACCUCAAUGCGGGGCGUUCCUUUUGUGUCUGGUCUGCAGAGUUUGUCUGUCCAUCAAAAUGUAGUACCUUCAUUGGAUCCACAUGCAGGUGUAGAGUUAUCGGGCAUGGUGACACCUCAUGCUAUUCAACCACCAGCCUCAAUGCCUGUGGAACAGAGUACGAGUCUGCCUGCCCAACAAAGCUUAGCAACUUUGCGUCAUCCACCAGCAGAAGCAGAACCAGCAGGUAUUCUGGCCACAGAGGCAGCUUGUGAUUUGCAGCCUGAAGCCCGACUGUCAACCUCAAUGCAGGAUCAAGCUGCAGAAGAAGGAGCAUGUAUCAUGGGCGCCACUGCUGCUCGAGGUUCGCAGCCUAAGGUGCAACCAUCAACCUCAUUGGAUUCACAUGCCGGAGCAGAAUCAACAGAUGCGUUGGGUGUGGUGGCAGCUCCUGAUAUGCAAUCGGAAAUACAAUCAUCAGCCUUGAUGCAGGACCGACCUGUGGCAGCAGAAGGAGCAUGUGUUCUAGGCACGACAGUAGCCCAGGAGUUGCAGCCUGAACUGCAAACAGCAACCACAGUUCAGCAUGACCCACUUGAAAGAACACGCUCUGAAGAAAGGAGACAAGCUGGUUUUGAACCAAACACAGCAGCCAGUCCUGAGCAUGAUCUGCAGUCUGAAAUACAGCCAUCAGCGUCAAUGCGUGAUCGACCUGCAGGAGCAGAAGGAGCAGGUAUGGUAGGCAGUACGGCAGCCCAGGAUUUGCAGCCUGAACGGCAAUUAUCAACCACAGUUCAGCAUAUCCCUAUCGGUCCUGAGCAGCCUACCCAACUCCCUCCAGUCACGCCAUUAGUGUUUAAUAAUCCAACAUUUAGUGAUGAACCGCUGAGAAAUGAGUUGGAAAAAAUAAUUCAUUGGAGCACUUUGCUUGAUAAAGGCCAUGACGAUAAGAGAUCACAACUUCAGGCAGAGCGCAACCAAGAAAUAGAGAAGAUAAACAGGAAGUAUGACUCGUUACUUCAACAAGAAGAUUCCGCUCAUCGUGUGAAGCGGACUCAGUUGAAUGGUAUCUACCAGAAAGUUUACGUGAGCAAAUCACUAGCUGAGAAUUUCCAACGCGAGUUCACGCCAUCAGUUGCAUCUCAUGGGAGAUUGAUGAGCCCUGUAAUGGAUCAGCUACCCGAGUCUUCUUCAUCAGCGGCUCGGAUUGCAGCAUCGCCGCCGGUUAUCCCAUCGCCAUCCAUCGGAGCGGCAGCGCACAGUUCAGCAGGACCCAACGUCCGCCCUCCGCCGGUGGCUCUACCAUCCUCAUCACGGACGGUCCAGUCACAGUCAGCGAGGCCUGGCAAUCUCUCUGGAGCAACAUCACCGCCUUUUGUUCCAGCGCCUUCGCUACAUGCAAGCCACGGACCCGCCGGACCACAGUUGCGCCCUCUCCAGCCACAAUCAGUUCCACCCAGCAUCCUCUACAGAACAAUGCCACCUGGCAUUCCGACGCCUCGGCCACAGGGCAGCUACAGGCCGCCCGCUGGAGCAGCAGCACAGCAGCAGCAGCUGCGUGCGCCCUCUCCUCAUCUGCAGCACCUCAGGAUGCGCCCGCCAUAUGUCAUCCCCACGGACCACCACCAGCAGCAGCAGCUCCCUGCCAUCCUAGGGGUUCCAGCGGGCGGGCAGUUUGUCACGGACAGCCUAAGGCCGGCGUUUCCGCAGCCAGGCGCCGUGCUAGCCUCCAUGACUCCAGCAGGCCCGGCUCACCAACCAGCACCGCCGUCAGCGCCAGGCUCAGGCUCAGCCGCCCCGACCUACUUUGUUCCACCUGGCCGGCACACGGACCCCGUCUGGACGCCGAACCCCGCCCUCACGUUUGCCCAGCUCCAGCAGCAGGCGUCGUACCUGAACAUGGCCCUGGGCGUCGGCAGCAGCAGCACCUCAGCAGGCCCGGCGGCGCCAGGAAGCCAGCAGCAGCACGCCGGCGGUGGCGCUCACAUACCCGCCGUCCUCAACCAUCCAGGCCUGGAACCGCCGCCGCCGCCGAACAGCAACCCGUACAUGCCGGCCAGGUUCGGCGUGGAGCCUGACAGCAGCAGCGGCGACGGCGGCAACGCAGCAGGGCCGAGCGCGGAGGUGGUGUGCCUGUCCGACGACGAAGCCUAG